GCCUAAGUGGCUCAUUGGGUUAAGCGUCUGACUUCGGCUCAGGUUAUGAUCUCACAGUUCGUGGGUUCAAGCCCCACGUCAGGCU
This is a transfer RNA of Felis catus (domestic cat), 85 nucleotides long. It matches the Rfam family "tRNA". Rfam says of the family: Transfer RNA (tRNA) molecules are approximately 80 nucleotides in length. Their secondary structure includes four short double-helical elements and three loops (D, anti-codon, and T loops). Further hydrogen bonds mediate the characteristic L-shaped molecular structure. tRNAs have two regions of fundamental functional importance: the anti-codon, which is responsible for specific mRNA codon recognition, and the 3' end, to which the tRNAs corresponding amino acid is attached (by aminoacyl-tRNA synthetases). tRNAs cope with the degeneracy of the genetic code in two manners: having more than one tRNA (with a specific anti-codon) for a particular amino acid; and 'wobble' base-pairing, i.e. permitting non-standard base-pairing at the 3rd anti-codon position. Lineage: Eukaryota; Metazoa; Chordata; Mammalia; Carnivora; Felidae. The record is from Rfam.